UACGUAGGUGGCAAGCGUUGUCCGGAUUUACUGGGCGUAAAGAGCGCGCAGGCGGUCGUUCAAGUCGCGUGUGAAAGCCCCCGGCUCAACUGGGGAGGGUCACGCGAUACUGAUCGACUCGAAGGCAGGAGAGGGAAGUGGAAUUCCCGGUGUAGUGGUGAAAUGCGUAGAUAUCGGGAGGAACACCAGUGGCGAAGGCGACUCUUUGGCCUGUAACUGACGCUGAGGCGCGAAAGCGUGGGGAGCAAACAGG
RNAcentral lists this ribosomal RNA (253 nucleotides) under uncultured bacterium. RNAcentral describes it as "partial 16S ribosomal RNA". It matches the Rfam family "Bacterial small subunit ribosomal RNA", at positions 524 to 776 of the family's 1533-position model. The record is from RNAcentral.